This is a non-coding RNA of Cajanus cajan (pigeon pea), 981 nucleotides long. NCBI's taxonomy places the organism in Eukaryota, Viridiplantae, Streptophyta, Magnoliopsida, Fabales, Fabaceae. The record is from RefSeq and is a predicted model, not a curated record.
AUCCACACUGGAGGAGCUCCUUGAUGCGGGCGGCGUCAACGGCGCGGUCGCGGGUGACGGCUACGUCCUCGCGAAGAUAGAGGAGGAGAAAUUGAUUAUGGAGGCAGCUUCUUCCAAGAUGUUCAACAAAGAAGAUUACAUUGUCUUCCACUCAAGAACUCUCCCAGCUUGCUCAGAGCAAGGGUUUUCCUGCGCUCGAUUUCACUUUGCAAAUUGAAGUGGCAUCAUCACCAUGGAAGUCAAAUCCUCUUCUCGCAAAAUCUCACCUCCACAAUAGGACCAUCUAUGCAGAUGCAAGUUGUCAAGGUGCUCUGCUCGGGCUAGAGAAGGAAGGCUUCAAAGUUACUUGAAGAUUUUGAUUCCAGAAAUCACUCAUUAACAACUGAAGAUUUUGUUGAUAUUUUUAAGUACUAUGCACACUCUCCUGAUCCACUGGUGAUCUAGCUGAUCCAACUGCACCGAAUGCUCUGCUGGUCGGUGGCUUGGCUAAGCCAAAUCAUGUCUCGGUCACUGGAUCAGAAUUGCAACUAGAUCGGCCAGUCGGUGAUGCCAUAAUCUAAGUGGAUAAGACUGCUGCUCCUGAUCAUGUAGUAGGUGAUCCAGCUGCUGAUUUGGUUCCAUUCCAACCAAGACUGACCUCCGUUUCCAGAGCCAUGCUGUUCUUGUGUUGCAAAAGGCUGUCGAGGCAUAUUUCUUUUUGUCGAAGCCGAUAGGUUACUAGGGGAAAUAGGUGUUUACUAUCAGUCAUAUUAAUUGUGAUAGGCAAAUAUAGCUAAAAGUUUGUGAAGGUCUGAUUUUUAGAAGUUUGGCAUGUAAUUGAUUUUUUCCAAGUAGGUGAUCCAGCUGCUGAUUUGGUUCUAGUCCAACCAUGGGAUGAAUUUUCAUAUAAUUUGAAUUUUUAUUGAUCUAAAAGAUGCAUUGAACCAUAUCUGUAGCUGCAUAUAUUUCAUAAUUAUUGAAUGGAUUUUAUAUUUUUAACAA